This 737-nucleotide ribosomal RNA is filed under the name Bacillus sp. (in: firmicutes). RNAcentral's name for it is "bacterial SSU rRNA". It matches the Rfam family "Bacterial small subunit ribosomal RNA", at positions 113 to 836 of the family's 1533-position model. Lineage: Bacteria; Bacillati; Bacillota; Bacilli; Caryophanales; Bacillaceae. The record is from RNAcentral.
ACACGUGGGUAACCUGCCUGUAAGACUGGGAUAACUCCGGGAAACCGGAGCUAAUACCGGAUAGUUCCUUGAACCGCAUGGUUCAAGGAUGAAAGACGGUUUCGGCUGUCACUUACAGAUGGACCCGCGGCGCAUUAGCUAGUUGGUGAGGUAACGGCUCACCAAGGCGACGAUGCGUAGCCGACCUGAGAGGGUGAUCGGCCACACUGGGACUGAGACACGGCCCAGACUCCUACGGGAGGCAGCAGUAGGGAAUCUUCCGCAAUGGACGAAAGUCUGACGGAGCAACGCCGCGUGAGUGAUGAAGGUUUUCGGAUCGUAAAGCUCUGUUGUUAGGGAAGAACAAGUGCAAGAGUAACUGCUUGCACCUUGACGGUACCUAACCAGAAAGCCACGGCUAACUACGUGCCAGCAGCCGCGGUAAUACGUAGGUGGCAAGCGUUGUCCGGAAUUAUUGGGCGUAAAGGGCUCGCAGGCGGUUUCUUAAGUCUGAUGUGAAAGCCCCCGGCUCAACCGGGGAGGGUCAUUGGAAACUGGGAAACUUGAGUGCAGAAGAGGAGAGUGGAAUUCCACGUGUAGCGGUGAAAUGCGUAGAGAUGUGGAGGAACACCAGUGGCGAAGGCGACUCUCUGGUCUGUAACUGACGCUGAGGAGCGAAAGCGUGGGGAGCGAACAGGAUUAGAUACCCUGGUAGUCCACGCCGUAAACGAUGAGUGCUAAGUGUUAGGGGGUUUCCG